GAAAUCCUUCCAUUUGUAUUUUCAUCUUGAAGUCAUCAAUUACAUAAACAACCAACAAAUGUAGUGUAUUUUUGGAUUAUACACAGACAAAUGCCUUACAUACAACAUCUUCCUUUUCUUCCCCCUGCUAUGUGUCGGGUUCAAUUUUGAAGUUGAACCAGAAAAAAAGUAGUACAUCCCAUUUUCGGUCAUUUUGAGGCUAUUUGAUGCUGCCCUCCA
RNAcentral lists this unclassified non-coding RNA (219 nucleotides) under Hevea brasiliensis (rubber tree). Lineage: Eukaryota; Viridiplantae; Streptophyta; Magnoliopsida; Malpighiales; Euphorbiaceae. The record is from RNAcentral.